UCUUCACAAUUAUCAAACUUUUAUGCCGCAUGGAUAAAGAUGUUUGGAAUAAGAUUUGAGAAUAGUAUAUCAAUGUUGCUAUACUUUCUUAAAAUUAAGCAAUGAUUUGGUUGUGUUUUUCUUCAAACCCAUUUUGUAUAUAAUAUAACAAAUGAGUAUGAGUGGAAAACCAAGACAACACCAUUA
Molecule: unclassified non-coding RNA, 186 nt
Filed under: uncultured Pachyphloeus
Lineage: Eukaryota; Fungi; Ascomycota; Pezizomycetes; Pezizales; Pezizaceae
Description: sequence contains ITS2
Source: RNAcentral